This 1076-nucleotide long non-coding RNA is filed under the name Anas platyrhynchos platyrhynchos (common mallard). RNAcentral describes it as "lncRNA (ENSAPLG00000028791.1)". Lineage: Eukaryota; Metazoa; Chordata; Aves; Anseriformes; Anatidae. The record is from RNAcentral.
CCGAAACUAUACCCAGCAGCAAGCUAGAGAAUCUAGACACUAAGAGGGAGAUGUGACUGGGGAAAUCUCUUUCAAAAUAUCUUGCAUGCACCUGUGCCUCAGUUACUUAAUUUGCCUUCAAAGGGUACUUGUACAUCUUCUAACUCUUGUCAGAACUUCAUUUACACCUGCAGAAGAUCAGACCCACGCAGAUUAAACGUUUUGUGCUGGCAUUUGAAACAGGGUGGAUUUCAGUCACUGAUUUAAGUAAACAGGAGUAAAGAUGCAAAGUGCAAAAUGUUACUGACUCACAGGAGUGAGUGGUCAUGGGGGCUGAGGAUGAAAAUGAGCAUGAGUGAGCAAACCAAACUGACUGUGUAGUUCCCCAGACUGCUCUACUUCCCAAGAACAGGCCCUAAAGCUACUGUAUGGUCCACAGUGACCCCAAGAUAGGGCCACAAGGUACAGCAAAUGGCUGCUCUGCCCACAAGGACUUCUGGGUGGGGGUGGUAGGAUUCCCACAUAAUUGUUGCAUUCAUUAAUCAAAAUAAGAAUGACAAACAACCUAUAGAUUUUUCGGGAGGUGGGGGAUGGGACAAAUGAAGGGAAUGAAAUUGUCUUUCUCACUGCUCCUUCUGAGAAUUGCCAGAGGGAGUCUUUGGGGGCUGCAAGGCACAACAGCAAGGACCCAGAACAAGCAAGACCAAGAACCCUCCUGCUGCUGCGACUGAUGAGGAAAUGUUCUAGCACCUUCCAGCCUCCCUCUCCAGGACUUGUGGUGCCAAUAACAAGCCCUUCACUAGCUCCACAUAGGCAAGGCUGAACUGCCUGCCAUGCCCCAGCUGAACCAGCCCUGUGCAAGUGCUUUCAGGUGCACUGCUCGCAUGUGGGCACACCUGUGCAUGGGGGACACUAACAUGGGGCGUACUUGUGCAUGAGGCCCACACACACGUAGGCUACACUUGCGUGUGGGGUGCACCACUUGUACACAGUGCAGUGUUUGCAUGUGGGCUGGCUGGCAUGCAGGGCACACUGCUGGUACACUGCUGGCUGUGCCCCCUCACAGCACUGUGAGAGCUCAGAGUUGCUAAGCAACA